Molecule: ribosomal RNA, 600 nt
Filed under: uncultured bacterium
Lineage: Bacteria
Description: bacterial SSU rRNA
Rfam family: Bacterial small subunit ribosomal RNA
Source: RNAcentral
AACGCUACGGGAUGGCUCACACAUCUAAGCCGAGCGGUUAGAGAUUCUCCGGAAUCUUAGAGAGCGGCGCACGGAUGCGGAACACGUGUGCAACCUGCCUUUAUCUGGGGGAUAUGCCUUUCGAAAGGGAGAUUACUACCGCCAUAAUAUACUGAGUGGCAUCACUUAUUAUUGAAAACUCCGGUGGAUAGAGAUGGGCACGCGCAAGAUUAUGAUAGUUGGUGAGGUAACUGGCAUCACCAAGUCAAUGAUCUUUAGGGGGACCUGAGAGGGUGAUCCACCGCACACUGGCUACUGAGACACGGACCAGACUCCUACGGGAGAGCAGCAACUGAGGAAUAUUGGACAAUGGGUGAGAGCCUGAUCCAGUCCAUCCCGCGUGAAGGACGACGGCCACUAUGGGGUUAGUAAACGUUCUUAUUGUACAAGAGGAAUACACCUUCCACACGUGUGAGAACAUGCUUGAAAGGUACAUGUACGAAAUAAAGCAUCCGGCGGCUAACUCCGUGCCAGCAGCCGCGGUAAUACGGAGAGUGCAAGCGUUAUCCGUAUUUAUUGGGUGUAAAGGGUCCGUAGGCGGAUCUGUAAGUCAGUGGUGAA